AUUACCCAAGGAACUUGUUAAAAUACAGAUUCUGAUUCAGUAGGUCUGGGGGUGCUCAGAUUCUGCAUUUGUAACCAGUUCCCAGGUGAUGCUAA
Molecule: microRNA precursor, 95 nt
Filed under: Pteropus alecto (black flying fox)
Lineage: Eukaryota; Metazoa; Chordata; Mammalia; Chiroptera; Pteropodidae
Description: mir-544 microRNA precursor family
Rfam family: mir-544 microRNA precursor family
Source: Rfam by way of RNAcentral